GCCUGGGUGGCUCAGUUGAGCGUCUGACUUCAGCUCAGAUUAUGAUCUCACAGUUUGUGGGUUCAAGCCCCGUGCCGGGCU
RNAcentral lists this transfer RNA (81 nucleotides) under Felis catus (domestic cat). It matches the Rfam family "tRNA". From Rfam's summary of the family: Transfer RNA (tRNA) molecules are approximately 80 nucleotides in length. Their secondary structure includes four short double-helical elements and three loops (D, anti-codon, and T loops). Further hydrogen bonds mediate the characteristic L-shaped molecular structure. tRNAs have two regions of fundamental functional importance: the anti-codon, which is responsible for specific mRNA codon recognition, and the 3' end, to which the tRNAs corresponding amino acid is attached (by aminoacyl-tRNA synthetases). tRNAs cope with the degeneracy of the genetic code in two manners: having more than one tRNA (with a specific anti-codon) for a particular amino acid; and 'wobble' base-pairing, i.e. permitting non-standard base-pairing at the 3rd anti-codon position. The record is from Rfam by way of RNAcentral. Lineage: Eukaryota; Metazoa; Chordata; Mammalia; Carnivora; Felidae.